Molecule: long non-coding RNA, 902 nt
Filed under: Penaeus japonicus
Lineage: Eukaryota; Metazoa; Arthropoda; Malacostraca; Decapoda; Penaeidae
Description: uncharacterized LOC122251631
Source: RNAcentral
AAAGUUGACACGGCCUUGACACGCCCACACCAGGGGCGUGUCAAGGCCGCAUGUAUUUCUUUGUGCUUAUCCACCUCGCGUAUUAACUAUUUUUGCUUGUCUACUACACUAAACUUCAGCAUAAGCUAUACUACAAAUGUGUUAACAAAACAUUCAUUUUGAAAUUAGAUAGAACUACCCUUACAGAAUGGAAAAAAAAUCUUCUUAUUCUGAAAUCGCUUAUAAAGUAGGCCUACUCAAAUAUAAUAUUGCAUUCUUUCUUUGCCUUCUCAAUAUUCCACAUUUGGAACCCAUGCCAAGAGUUGCAAACUCCUAUCUCACACAGCCAGUGCUUACGACCGUCGUUAUGAAUGAAUGCUUAAAACCAAUUUUCUCUCACAUUCCUAACAUUCACGUCCUAUUGCAUCCUCUGGGGUGUACCCGCUUCCUUUUCGAUCAACCGUUUGAUUAAUUAAUGAAGGAUGUGUAAAGCCUUUUCACAUCUCAGAAAGUGUUCCUACGUGUAAAGCCUUUUCACAUCUCAGAAAGAUGUUCCUACGUGUAAAGCCUUUUCACAUCUCAGAAAGUGUUCCUACGUGUAAAUUUAGCCUUUUCACAUCUCAGAAAGAUGUUCCUACGUGUAAAGCCUUUUCACAUCUCAGAAAGAUGUUCCUACGUGUAAAGCCUAUUCACUUCUCAGAAAGUAUUCCUACGUGUAAAGCCUUUUCACAUCUCAGAAAGAUGUUCCUACAUGUAAAGCCUUUUCACAUCUCAGAAAAUGUUCCUACGUGUAAAGCCUUUUCACAUCUCAGAAAGAUGUUCCUACGUGUAAAGCCUUUUCACAUCUCAGAAAGAUGUUCCUACGUGUAAAGCCUUUUCACAUCUCAGAAAGAUGUUCCUACGUGUAAAGCCUUUUCACAUCU